Molecule: ribosomal RNA, 508 nt
Filed under: uncultured bacterium
Lineage: Bacteria
Description: partial 16S ribosomal RNA
Rfam family: Bacterial small subunit ribosomal RNA
Source: RNAcentral
AUUGAACGCUGGCGGCAGGCCUAACACAUACAAGUCGAGCGGCAGCGGGAAAGUAGCUUGCUACUUUUGCCGGCGAGCGGCGGACGGGUGAGUAAUGCCUGGGAAAUUGCCCAGUCGAGGGGGAUAACAGUUGGAAACGACUGCUAAUACCGCAUACGCCCUACGGGAGAAAGCAGGGGACCUUCGGGCCUUGCGCGAUUGGAUAUGCCCAGGUGGGAUUAGCUAGUUGGUGAGGUAAUGGCUCACCAAGGCGACGAUCCCUAGCUGGUCUGGGAGGAUGAUCAGCCACACUGGAACUGAGACACGGUCCAGACUCCUACGGGAGGCAGCAGUGGGGAAUAUUGCACAAUGGGGGAAACCCUGAUGCAGCCAUGCCGCGUGUGUGAAGAAGGCCUUCGGGUUGUAAAGCACUUUCAGCGAGGAGGAAAGGUUGAUGCCUAAUACGUAUCAACUGUGACGUUACUCGCAGAAGAAGCACCGGCUAACUCCGUGCCAGCCGCCGCGGUAA